Molecule: ribosomal RNA, 435 nt
Filed under: uncultured bacterium
Lineage: Bacteria
Description: bacterial SSU rRNA
Rfam family: Bacterial small subunit ribosomal RNA
Source: RNAcentral
AACGCGAAGAACCUUACCGGGGCUUGACAUCGGAGGACAACUCUAGAAAUAGAGCUUAGGGGCAACCCUACUUCCAGACAGGUGCUGCAUGGCUGUCGUCAGCUCGUGCCGUGAGGUGUUGGGUUAAGUCCCGCAACGAGCGCAACCCUCGUCGUGUGUUGGUCCACAAGAUCUCUCACACGAGACCGCCGGUGAGAAGCCGGAGGAAGGUGGGGAUGACGUCAAGUCAGCAUGGCCCUUACGUCCCGGGCUACACACGUGCUACAAUGCGCCGAACAACGAGCUGCGAACCCGCGAGGGUAAGCCAAUCUCUUAAAUCGGCGCUCAGUUCGGAUUGAAGGCUGCAACUCGCCUUCAUGAAGUCGGAAUCGCUAGUAAACGCAGAUCAGCUACGCUGCGUUGAAUACGUUCCCGGGCCUUGUACACACCGAUAGC